GUAUAUGGCCAAACCUGCUCGUAAAUGCCCUGCUGUCAGAUCUCAGAAGCUAAGCCGGGUUGGGCCUGGUUACUACUCAGAUGGGAGACCACUGGGAACACCAGGUGCCACA
Molecule: ribosomal RNA, 112 nt
Filed under: Periophthalmus magnuspinnatus
Lineage: Eukaryota; Metazoa; Chordata; Actinopteri; Gobiiformes; Gobiidae
Source: RNAcentral